Molecule: non-coding RNA, 5290 nt
Organism: Oryctolagus cuniculus (rabbit)
Lineage: Eukaryota; Metazoa; Chordata; Mammalia; Lagomorpha; Leporidae
Source: RefSeq, a predicted model, not a curated record
UGGGGUGGGGGCUGAAGAUCCGAGGCUGCGCCUGCGCGGGAAGUGGAGGCCCGGCGUGUGGAGGAAGGGCGGCCCUGGCGCGCAGGCUCUGGGGCGCCCAGGGGCACCAAAGCCGUGGAGGGAGGGCGGCUGCCGGGGCCAAGCCUAGGCCCGUGAGGUGCGAUCUAUUGCUGCCAUUUCUUCCUGGUGACCCCCGACUAGAUCCCGACGCCUACCUCUGGGUGGACUGUGCAGGUUUUCUCUCAGAUGUGCUGCUGUAAUAAUGCUGGAGUUAAGAAACUUCCUUUCCUUUGCUCCCAAUCAGAAGAUUUUGCACCCUACGUAUAGAACAGGCAUAAUGUUUAAAAACAACUGGGUGGUGUUUAAAGCUGAAGAUUGUCAUGGCUGUUUAACCUAAGCUCUGUGCUGAAGUAAAGUUAAUUGUCUUGGAAAUACUAAUUUGGGUGAUCUCUUCUUUUUCUUAUGUGAGAGGCAGAGAAAGCGAGAGCUUCCAUCUGCUGGUUCACUCCCCAAGUGCCUGUACUGGCUGUGAGCCAAGAACUCAAUCCAGUUUCCCACAUGGGUGGCAGGAACUCAACCACUUGAGCCAUCACCACUCUCCCCCGGGAUCUACAUUAGGAGGGAGCUGGAGCCAGGCAUCAAAUCCAGGCAUUCCAGUGUGCAGUUGUAGGUACCUUAACCACUAUGCCAAGUGCCAGCCCUGGGUCUCUUCUUUUCUUGUGGGUAGAAUUCUUUUCUUUUUUGGCUAAACCUCAGAAUGGUUAUAGAGUAAAUCAUACAUGUGGUGUUAGUUAGUGUAUCCUUUGAGACUAAUGAAUAUUUGUGUAAUUAAACACCUUUUUUUUUUUUUUUUUUUUUACAAAAUGACCUACUUGUUAUUUUUAAACUAAUGAAUAGUCUUUAAAUGUUCUAUUUCUUAGGCACUGGAGUAUAGACCUGAAAAGCAUGAACUUUGAAAUCAAGCCAACCUGAGUCCAAAAUUUCAGCACUGCCACUUAAUUAACAUUUAGUCACUGGCCGGCGCCGCGGCUCACUAGGCUAAUCCUCCUCCUGUGGCACCGGCACCCCGGGUUCUAGUCCCGGUUGGGGCGCUGGUUCUGUCCCAGUUGCUCCUCUUCCAGUCCAGCUCUCUACUGUGGCCUGGGAAAGCAGCGAAGGAUGACCCAAGUGCUUGGGCCUGCAUCCUUGUGGGAGACCAGGAGGAAGCACCUGGCUCCUGGCUUCGGAUCGGCACAGUGCACCAGCCGUGUCAGCCAUUUGGGGGGUGAACCAACGGAAGGAAGACCUUUCUCUCUGUCUAACGCUGCCUGUGAAAAAAAAAACUUAGUCACUUUAAGCUCCAGUAUAUAUUUUUAAGAUGAGGAUAGUAAUUCCUACUUAAUAACUUCUAAUAAUUAAAUGAGGUGAUGAUUGUAAAGUUCUUAAUCCAGUGCCUAGCAUGUAAUGAGCCCUCAAAAAUAUUUUUAUAAAGAAUUGCUCACAUACUAUAGCUUUUCCUGGUAAUUUUCCUGAUAAUUUUCAUCUUUACCAUCAAUUUAUUCUCUCCUUUUCUCUUGAGAUUCAUAAGUAAUAACUGUCAUUAUUUUCUAAUGGAAACAGAAAAUUGAAUACUAAUUGUUACACCAUAAGCAGUAUGAUUACUCAUAAAGUAGCUGAAGCAGAUAUAAAUUAACAUGUGACAACUGUUAACAGAAUUAGCCUCUGGUUUGGAAGAAUUCAGUUGACCUCCAGUUUGCAUGUAAUUUGUUUAGAAUUUCAAGUAGAGCAUCAGGCAGUAAGUUUUUUUUGUUUGUUUGUUUUUAAAGGUUUAUUUAUUUAUUUAAAAGAGUUGCAGAGAGAAAGAGGAGAGACACAGAGAGAAAGAUCUUUCAUUCUCUGGUUCACUCCCCAAAUGGCCUUAUCAACUGGGAUUUGGCCAGACUGAAGCCGAGAGCCUGGAACUCCAUCCAGGUCUCCCACUGUGGGUGGUAGGAACCUAAAUAUGAGCCCACUGCUUCCUCAAGCACUUUAUUUAUUUAUUUAUUUAUUUAUUAUUUUUUUGACAGGCAGAGUGGACAGUGAGAGAGAGAGAAAAAGGUCUUCCUUUGCCGUUGGUUCACCCUCCAAUGGCUGCCAGCCGGCGGGCUGCGGCCAAAGUACUUGGGCCAUCCUCCACUGCACUCCCUGGCCACAGCAGAGAGCUGGCCUGGAAGAAGGGCAACCGGGACAGAAUCCGGCACCCCGACCGGGACUAGAACCCAGGGGUGCCGGCGCCGCAAGGUGGAGGAUUAGCCUAUUGAGCCACGGAGCCAGCCCAAUGUGUGGAUGUACUUUAAAACCAGCAGUAUUUCUUAAUUUUAUUCCUUUCAUUUAAGUUGUACAAUUCAUGAGCAUAUAAUUUUCAUAAUACUCUUAUUAAGUUUUUAAUUUUACAAUGCAUAUUUACUCACUAUAGAGAUUCUACUGUUAAUAUUUUACUCUUGUCAAUCUCUAUCCAUCCUAUCUGCUCUUUGUUCUUUUGCCUUUCAGACAUGAGUGUUGUCCUUCUCUUUCCUUCUUUGUUCCUCACUGUGUUAAACCAGUGCUUCUUUGAAACUGGUUGAAUCUCAUGUCUUUCAGCUCUGUGAAUUGUUUAUAGUUUCAAAGUCAUUCUCUUCCCAUACUUACAGAAUUUCACCUUGCACAUGUAUGGCCUCCUACUCAACCAUAGAAUCAAGGACACAUCCUCCCCUGCAAAUGUCUGGCAUUCUCUCAAUUUAACUCCCUCCUCCCAUAGAAAUAAUACUCUGCUCUGUAAAUUCCAAUCACUUCUGCCUUUCCAGACUGAUCUCUUCCACUCAGACUACAAUAAUCUAUUUGGGGACCCCCCCCCCAUAUACCUUAGGCUAAAAAGUGUUGCCAGCAGAAAAACAGACAAUUAUAGAGCUCAUUUGUGAUAAUACUGUACUGCAUGUUGUCAAUGCCUGGGAACUUAUUUCAUAUAUUUUGCCCAGUUUCUUGUUUAUAGUGAGUUAUUCCAGUUCCAGUUGCUCCACAAUUCUAGCAUAUUAUUUUUUAAGGAUUUAUAUUAUAUUUAUUUGAAAAGCAGAGUUACAGAGAUGGGGGGAGAUAGAGGGAGAGAUCUUCCAUCUGUUGGUUCACUCCCCAGGUGGCCAUAAAGCCUGGGGCUGGGCCAGGCAGAAGCCAAAAACCACAAGCUUCUGAGUCUUCCACGGGGGUGCUGGGGCCCAAGGAUUUAUGCCGUCUUUUGCUAUUUUCCCAGGUGCAUUAGCAGGGAGCUGGAUCGGAAGUGAAACAGCUAGGACGCAAACUGGUGCCCAUAUGGGAUGCUGGUGUCGCAAGUGGUGGCUUAAUCCACUAUGCCACAAUACUGGCCCCUCAUUUUUUUUCCAAAUGCAGCAUAGUGGUUAAAUAUUUUGGACUAGAAAGAUCUGACUUCCAAUUCUUGCCCCAUAUUGAGUAAAUUUUCUCAAUACCUCAGUUUCCUUUUCUGUGAAAUGCAGAUAAUACAAUGCGCCUAUUUCCUAAAAUUAUUGUAAAUAUUGAAACAUUUUAUUUAGUUUGCUUUGUCUGCUAUAACAGAUUACCACAAACCAGGUGGCUUAGAACAAUAGAAAUUUAUUUUGCAAAGUUAUAGAGACCAAAAGUCCAAAACAGUUUCCCUGGCCUGAAAUCAAGAUUCUCAGCAGGGCCACCGUUUUAACGGGGCCCUAGGAAAGAAUCCAUUCCUUGCUGCCUCCAUCUUCUGGCUGCCAGUUUUCCACUUAUGCUUGCAUCACUCCAAUCUCUGCUUUCAUUGUCACAUUGCUUUUUCCUCUUCUAUUCAUAUCAAAUCUCCUUUUGCCUUUUUUUAAAAUAAGGAUACUCUUGAUUGCAAUUAGAGACCACCCAACUAAACCAGACUAAUCUUCACAUUUUAAGAUACUUUAUUUAAUUCUAUCCAGUAUCUUUUACCUUACAAGACAACAUUAACGAGUCCUAGGAAUUAGGACCUGAAAUCUUUGGAUGGCCAUUAUUCAACCUACUGUAAGAUAUUAAAGCAUUUGACACACAUCGUGUUGCAACCAAAAUAUUUAACAACCACUGCAGGUAUCAAUAAAUAAGGAUGGGUGCUGAUUAUAAGUAUUCAGAAUGGUGCUUUUGGCUGAAUAGCAGCCCUACACUUAGCAUAUGCCACGACCUUGAGCAUGUAGUAUACACUGAGUAAAUUUUUUUAAAAAUUUUUUUUGACAAGGCAGAGUUAGAGAGAGAGAGAGAGAGAGAGAGAGAGAGAAAGGUCUUCCUUUUCCCAUUGGUUCACCCCCCAAAUGGCUGCUACGGCUGACAUGCUGUGCUGAUCCGAAGCCAGGAGCCAGGUGCUUCCUCCUGGUCUCCCAUGUGGAUGCAGGGCCCAAGCACUUGGGCCAUCCUCCACUGCCUUCCCUGGGCCACAGUAGAGAGCUGGACUGGAAGAGGAGCAACUGGGACAGAACCAGCACCCCAACCGGGACUAGAAGCUGGUGUGCUGGCGCCACAGGCGGAGGAUUAGCCUAUUGAGCUGCGGCGCCAGCUGCGAGAGCCAACUUUAAUAAGUCAUGUCUAUUUCCUCUUUUCAAAUGGCUUGUCUUCUGCUUAUUUCUGCUUGUCUAUUUGAGUACUUCAUAUGUAGAAAAUACUAACAUUGCCAUAUUUAUGAGAAAUAUUGUUUGUAUUAUAGUGUAUUAAUCUUUUCUAAAUCUUAUGCUUGUUUUUAGAUAUUUUAAUCUUUGUCUUGAAAUACAUCUAAAAUGAAAAUGUGACUUAGAAUGUAUCAAACUUAAUGAAAUAAAUAUAUUGAUAUAUACUAACUAGAUUUUUUUAACAUUUAUUUGAAAGGCAGAGAUACAAAGAGAGAGAGGCAUUGAGAGAGAGAAAUAUUCCAUCUGCUGAUUUAUCUUGAAAUGGUCGCAACAGCCGUGACUGGGCCAACCCCAAGCCAGAAGCAACUUCCGGGUCUCCAGAGUGGACGCAAGGGCCCAAGUACUUGGGCCAUCUUCUGCUGCUUUCUCAGGCACAUUAACAGGGAGCUAGAUUGGAAAGUGGAACAGCCAGAACUUGAACCAGUGCCCAUUUGGGAUGCCAGUGCUGCAGGCAGCGGCUUUCCCCACCACACCAGAGCUCUGGCGCCUUAACUAUGCUUUUUAAAAAGCAAUAUUCUUUUUCCUUAAAGUUUUUCCUUUGCAAAGAAAUGAAACCCCCAUGUUUAACCUCAAACAUAAGUAAAUUCUCCAUGGCCAGUUUUAUUACGCUUAAGUGAACACAUGUAAAAUAAAGAUGUUAAAGUUAAAUUGAA